This is an RNA transcript of Rhipicephalus sanguineus (brown dog tick), 253 nucleotides long. RefSeq lists it as uncharacterized. The transcript has 3 exons. NCBI's taxonomy places the organism in Eukaryota, Metazoa, Arthropoda, Arachnida, Ixodida, Ixodidae. The record is from RefSeq and is a predicted model, not a curated record.
GCCUUAAAUGUGCAAAUUGAAAGGGCAAAGACGGCUUUUGCAAUUAUAGCAAGCAUUCCUCGCUUAGGAUCGUGAACGUAUCUUGGUCGCCUUCCCAAGUAAGUUGCGGGAUCGAAUCCCCGCUGCGUCGGCCGCACUUAGAUGGAGGCAAAAUGUUAAAGUCAGCGAUGGGCCUCAAGAAUUCUUUCUUUCAGUUUCUCUUGCUCAUUUCUCUUGUCGUCCUCGUCAUGUCCGCCCGACGAGCGAGACGUAA